GCCUUGCCGGGCGUCGACCGGCGGAAUGGGUGGAGUAACGCGUAUCCAACCUGCCCCUGUCCCGGGAAUAGCCCUUGGAAACGAGGAUUAACGCCCGAUUUGCGGAGCAGUCGCAUGGCAGUUCCGUGAAAUGCCUAAGGACGGGGAUGGGGAUGCGUCUGAUGAUAGCCAGCUGGCGGGGUAACGGCCCACCAGGUUGUCGUAUCGAUCAGUAGGGGUUCUGAGAGGAAGGUCCCCCCACACUGGAACUGAGACACGGUCCAGACUCCUACGGGAGGCAGCAGUGAGGGAAUAUUUGGUCAAUGGCCGGAGAGGGCUGAAACCAGCCACAAGUAGCGUAGCGUGAGGGAUGAAGGCCCUAUGGGUUGUUAAACUUUCUUCUUUUAUGCGGGGAUAAAAGARUGCCCACGCGUGGCAUGUUGCAGGUACCGCAUGAAUAAGGACCGGCUAAUUCCGUGCCAGCAGCCGCGGUAAUACGGAAGGUCCGGGCGUUAUCCGGAUUUAUUGGGUUUAAAGGGAGCGCAGGCGGAGCGCCAAGUCAGCCGUCAAAUGGCUCAGCUCAACUGAGUCCUGCGGUUGAAACUGGCGCCCUUGGGUGCACAAGAGGCAGGCGGAACUCGUGGUGUAGCGGUGAAAUGCAUAGAUAUCACGAAGAACUCCGAUUGCGAGGGCAGCUUGCUGGGGUGUUACCGACGCUCAUGCUCGAAGGCGCGGGUAUCAAACAGGAUUAGAUACCCUGGUAGUCCGCGCAGUAAACGAUGGAUGCCCGCGGUGCGGCCGUUUAAGGUUACGCCGCCAAGCGAAAGCGUUAAGCAUCCCACCUGGGGAGUACGCCGGCAACGGUGAAACUCAAAGGAAUUGACGGGGGCCCGCACAAGCGGAGGAACAUGUGGUUUAAUUCGAUGAUACGCGAGGAACCUUACCCGGGCUUGAAAGGCAGCGGACGGGAGGCAGAGACGCCUCUCUUUCUUCGGACCGCUUCCUAGGUGCUGCAUGGUUGUCGUCAGCUCGUGCCGUGAGGUGUCGGCUUAAGUGCCAUAACGAGCGCAACCCUUUCCGCCGGUUGCCAUCGGGUAAUGCCGGGCACUCCGUUGGUACUGCCGCCGCAAGGCGUGAGGAAGGUGGGGAUGACGUCAAAUCAGCACGGCCCUUACGUCCGGGGCCACACACGUGUUACAAUGGGGGGCACAGCGAGCUGGAUGCAGGCGACUGCAUUCGAAUCAAUAAAUCCCCUCCCAGUUCGGACUGGAGUCUGCAACCCGACUCCACGAAGCUGGAUUCGCUAGUAAUCGCGCAUCAGCCAUGGCGCGGUGAAUACGUUCCCGGGCCUUGUACACACCGCCCGUCAAGCCAUGAAAGCCGGGGGCGCC
Molecule: ribosomal RNA, 1370 nt
Filed under: uncultured bacterium
Lineage: Bacteria
Description: bacterial SSU rRNA
Rfam family: Bacterial small subunit ribosomal RNA
Source: RNAcentral